Molecule: ribosomal RNA, 189 nt
Filed under: uncultured bacterium
Lineage: Bacteria
Description: partial 16S ribosomal RNA
Rfam family: Bacterial small subunit ribosomal RNA
Source: RNAcentral
CCUACGGGAGGCAGCAGUAGGGAAUAUUGGGCAAUGGGCGAGAGCCUGACCCAGCCAUGCCGCGUGCAGGAAGAAGGCUUUCUGAGUCGUAAACUGCUUUUGACAGGGAAGAAUAAGCACUACGUGUAGUGCGAUGACGGUACCUGCAGAAUAAGCACCGGCUAACUCCGUGCCAGCAGCCGCGGUAAU